This 385-nucleotide RNase P RNA is filed under the name Cellulomonas massiliensis. RNAcentral's name for it is "Bacterial RNase P class A". It matches the Rfam family "Bacterial RNase P class A". Rfam says of the family: Ribonuclease P (RNase P) is a ubiquitous endoribonuclease, found in archaea, bacteria and eukarya as well as chloroplasts and mitochondria. Its best characterised activity is the generation of mature 5'-ends of tRNAs by cleaving the 5'-leader elements of precursor-tRNAs. Cellular RNase Ps are ribonucleoproteins. The record is from RNAcentral. Lineage: Bacteria; Bacillati; Actinomycetota; Actinomycetes; Micrococcales; Cellulomonadaceae.
GAGUCAGUCAGGCGGCCGCGUCGGCCCUCUCGGGGGCCGCCGAGGAACGUCCGGGCUCCGCAGGGCAGGGUGGUGGGUAACACCCACCCGGGGUGACCCGCGGGACAGUGCCACAGAGAACAGACCGCCUCCCCGUCCGGUUCGCCGGCCGGGGCGGUAAGGGUGAAACGGUGGUGCAAGAGACCACCAGCGUGCCGGGUGACCGGUGCGGCUCGGUAAACCCCACCCGGAGCAAGGCCAGACAGGGAGCGUUCGAGGGCGGCCCGCCCGAGCUCCCGGGUAGGCCGCUGGAGGCGUGCGGCAACGUACGUCCGAGAUGGAUGGUCGCCACCGGCGGGCGGGCAACUGCCCGCCGGGACAGGACCCGGCGUAUCGACUGACUCAU